This 492-nucleotide ribosomal RNA is filed under the name uncultured bacterium. RNAcentral describes it as "partial 16S ribosomal RNA". It matches the Rfam family "Bacterial small subunit ribosomal RNA", at positions 29 to 507 of the family's 1533-position model. The record is from RNAcentral.
AGUGAACGCUGGCGGUAGGCCUAACACAUGCAAGUCGAACGGCAGCACAGUAAGAGCUUGCUCUUACGGGUGGCGAGUGGCGGACGGGUGAGGAAUACAUCGGAAUCUACUUUUUCGUGGGGGAUAACGUAGGGAAACUUACGCUAAUACCGCAUACGACCUACGGGUGAUAGCAGGGGAUCUUCGGACCUUGCGUGAUUGAAUGAGCCGAUGUCGGAUUAGCUAGUUGGCGGGGUAAAGGCCCACCAAGGCGACGAUCCGUAGCUGGUCUGAGAGGAUGAUCAGCCACACUGGAACUGAGACACGGUCCAGACUCCUACGGGAGGCAGCAGUGGGGAAUAUUGGACAAUGGGCGCAAGCCUGAUCCAGCCAUACCGCGUGGGUGAAGAAGGCCUUCGGGUUGUAAAGCCCUUUUGUUGGGAAAGAAAAGCAGCAGGUUAAUACCCCGCUGUUCUGACGGUACCCAAAGAAUAAGCACCGGCUAACUUCGUG